UNCCCUACGGAAACAAGAGAACUUUCUGC
RNAcentral lists this non-coding RNA (29 nucleotides) under Mus musculus (house mouse). Lineage: Eukaryota; Metazoa; Chordata; Mammalia; Rodentia; Muridae. The record is from RNAcentral.